Molecule: long non-coding RNA, 1324 nt
Organism: Macrobrachium nipponense
Lineage: Eukaryota; Metazoa; Arthropoda; Malacostraca; Decapoda; Palaemonidae
Exons: 3
Source: RefSeq, a predicted model, not a curated record
UCGAGGGCAUUGGUGAGUUAUUCGGUUUCAGUUAGGCGGCCAAUGAACUAGACAGAUUUUGGGAGCAGUACUACAGAGCAAUAAGUAGAGGACGUCUUUGAGAACAACUACGCUUUUAAGGGGGAGAAUAUUAAGCAGUGAACCGCACGAAGUACUAGUCUUGGGGAUGCAAAAUUAGCAACAUGAGAAGGAACCUUCUUAUAGAACGCUGGGCGUUGUCAGUUAUUACGUUGCUCGCCUUGGCGUGCACCGUAGCGGGAGCGGCCUCGUGGUUCACAGAGGGCAUCUCUAAAUGGUCCAUGUUACUGACAAUAAGUGGCGGCGCUCUCUUUUUUGUAAUCCUCUUGGGAUACAUUACCAGUGGGUGUUUUGGCCAAAACGCCGAUGAAUCCACCACGGCUGAGGCACAAUCGGUUGCAGACGACCGACCGCCAAAGUACCGAACGGCCUGGAGGAAAGAGUUCAUGAAAAGUUGUCCUCCCCACCUCAAAGCCGACCUCGAAAAGGGCACCAGGAAGUGGGCAAGAAGCAGCCAUGCAGAGGAAAAUGCAUUGCCUGUGUGGACGACUGGUUUGCAGGUCGAUUUUUGCGGUUUGGGUCCUUAUUCCGACCCGUCCAGAAACAGCGUGGGUCCCUCGUCCCACGAUCCUCCUGCAGAGUGCCAUCCCGUCAGAGGUUCGGUGAGCAUUGGCGAUGCACAGAUCCUCCCAGCAACUUUUCUACCCUCCAGGAAGACGCAAAGGACAGGUGACCCGUGCGACUACGAUUCGGGUUUGCCAAGAUACGAGGAGGUGCAGGAUAUGUGACGAUCUGCAUUGUUUUGCCUAAUUAAUAUUGCUUUCAGUGCAAAGUUUCGCUCCUUAAAUCAUAAUCUGUACUAGGCAUUGCAAAAAGAAAAGCAAACACGAAUCUCUUUCGGUGGGUAGUUGUUCAUUUAAAGGUGUACUGUGCACAUUAUUAUUUUUAGUUACGUAUAAUGUCGGUGGACUUGAGCUCUCUCACGGGAGUGUUUUAUAAUUCAAUGGUACUAUAACGACAAUAGCUCCGAGGCUAGAUAUUUUUUUACAUUUAGAUUUUUUUUACUUGAGUCAUUGUCUUUGACCGCUGUAAUAUCUUUAUUUGUAUGUACGUUGUGGCUAGGUAAUAAUGACUAAAAAUGAUGCACGAAAAACAUCUUUUGACAAAUUUUGAUCUUACAGUUAUUCAAGUAUAGGUGGAUACAACUUACAUAUAAAUCAUGUAUGUAUACGUUUAAAUAAAUAUAUUUCAAACAUAAGGAUGUCAUUAUACAUUUAUUUAUGUUGCAUAUACUAUAAAUAAAUUU